Molecule: unclassified non-coding RNA, 229 nt
Filed under: uncultured fungus
Lineage: Eukaryota; Fungi
Description: sequence contains ITS1, 5.8S rRNA gene
Rfam family: 5.8S ribosomal RNA (bases 181-229)
Source: RNAcentral
UCUCCGUAGGUGAACCUGCGGAGGGAUCAUUACUGAGUUAGCGCUCCGGCGCGACCUCCAACCCUUUUGUGAAAUUGACCUCUGUUGCCUCGGGGGUGACCCGGCCCUCUGGUGCCGGGGCCCCCGGUGGACCCCUCAACUCUGCAUCUUUGCGUCUGAGUACUAUUUUGAAUCAAUCAAAACUUUCAACAACGGAUCUCUUGGUUCUGGCAUCGAUGAAGAACGCAGC